CCUACGGGAGGCAGCAGUGAGGAAUAUUGGUCAAUGGGCGCGAGCCUGAACCAGCCAAGCCGCGUGAGGGAGGACGGUACAGUGGAUUGUAAACCUCUUUUGUCAGGGAACAAAAGCCGCCACGCGUGCCGUUCCGAGAGUACCUGAAGAAAAAGCAUCGGCUAACUCCGUGCCAGCAGCCGCGGUAAUACGGAGGAUGCGAGCGUUAUCCGGAUUUAUUGGGUUUAAAGGGUGCGCAGGAGGAAUAUCAAGUCAGCGGUAAAAAUUCGGGGCUCAACCCCGGCGUGCCGUUGAAACUGACGGUCUUGAGUGGGAGAGAAGUAUGCGGAAUGCGUGGUGUAGCGGUGAAAUGCAUAGAUAUCGCGCAGAACUCCGAUUGCGAAGGCAGCAUGCCGGCGCCACACUGACGCUGAGGCACGAAAGCGUGGGUAUCGAACAGGAUUAGAUACCCUAGUAGUC
This 459-nucleotide ribosomal RNA is filed under the name uncultured bacterium. RNAcentral's name for it is "partial 16S ribosomal RNA". It matches the Rfam family "Bacterial small subunit ribosomal RNA", at positions 338 to 795 of the family's 1533-position model. The record is from RNAcentral.